GUGUCUGUGAUGUUUUAGGUGGCAGUGAUGAUUUCAUACACGUGGUAAACAAUAAUUAUGCAGAGCCAAUGUCAUGAUCAUGCUCCCAAUCUGACAGUCAGGCCAGGUGUGAGCCCAGGGAGUGGGAUUUGUGGAUGUGAACCUGCCUGACUAGGUUGUGGCAGGAUGCCACAGGUGCCACCAAGCAUCUAGAAAGGGAACACGAUAGUGGCAAAGGACAGGAUUUGCUGAUGUUUUACUUGAGUUGAAUUUCUGAAGCUGAAGAAUCUCUGUAAAAUGGUACUUUGCUUCUUCAGUUGAGAUCAGAUAUUCUGCUUCCCAAGCUGGCAUUGUUUUCAGCUUGAGAAAGAGUUCAUGGCAUCCAGUUUUGAGGAACUCCCUUUUGAGCAUCCCAGAAAUGGCACCUAUCCAGUGGGUCCCUGAUACCUUCAAGCAACACUUUCUCUUCAAUCAGUUAUAUCCUUAAUUUAAUGGCUUCUGACAAUAAACUGUUUUGCACACC
Molecule: long non-coding RNA, 502 nt
Filed under: Manacus vitellinus (golden-collared manakin)
Lineage: Eukaryota; Metazoa; Chordata; Aves; Passeriformes; Pipridae
Description: lncRNA (ENSMVIG00005014147.1)
Source: RNAcentral